AAUAAGACUUGUGCUACUCACAGCACAUCUCCUGAAUGCAACU
Molecule: transfer RNA, 43 nt
Filed under: Holcosus parvus
Lineage: Eukaryota; Metazoa; Chordata; Lepidosauria; Squamata; Teiidae
Description: Holcosus undulatus parvus partial tRNA-Ala
Source: RNAcentral